This 462-nucleotide ribosomal RNA is filed under the name uncultured bacterium. RNAcentral describes it as "partial 16S ribosomal RNA". It matches the Rfam family "Bacterial small subunit ribosomal RNA", at positions 28 to 507 of the family's 1533-position model. The record is from RNAcentral.
GACGAACGCUGGCGGCGUGCUUAACACAUGCAAGUCGAACGGAAAGGCCCUUCGGGGUACUCGAGUGGCGAACGGGUGAGUAACACGUGGGUGAUCUGCCCUGCACUUUGGGAUAAGCCUGGGAAACUGGGUCUAAUACCGAAUAGGACCACGCGCUUCAUGGUGUGUGGUGGAAAGCUUUUGCGGUGUGGGAUGGGCCCGCGGCCUAUCAGCUUGUUGGUGGGGUAAUGGCCUACCAAGGCGACGACGGGUAGCCGGCCUGAGAGGGUGACCGGCCACACUGGGAUUGAGAUACGGCCCAGACUCCUACGGGAGGCAGCAGUGGGGAAUAUUGCACAAUGGGCGCAAGCCUGAUGCAGCGACGCCGCGUGAGGGAUGACGGCCUUCGGGUUGUAAACCUCUUUCAAUAGGGACGAAGCGCAAGUGACGGUACCUAUAGAAGAAGCACCGGCCAACUACGUG